This 245-nucleotide ribosomal RNA is filed under the name uncultured bacterium. RNAcentral describes it as "partial 16S ribosomal RNA". It matches the Rfam family "Bacterial small subunit ribosomal RNA", at positions 109 to 354 of the family's 1533-position model. The record is from RNAcentral.
AGUAACGCGUGAGGAACCUGCCUUCCAGAGGGGGACAACAGUUGGAAACGACUGCUAAUACCGCAUGAUACGUUUGAAUCGCAUGGUUUGAAUGUCAAAGAUUUAUCGCUGGAAGAUGGCCUCGCGUCUGAUUAGCUAGUUGGUGAGGUAACGGCCCACCAAGGCGACGAUCAGUAGCCGGACUGAGAGGUUGGCCGGCCACAUUGGGACUGAGAUACGGCCCAGACUCCUACGGAAGGCAGCAG